CACUGGAUGGUGUAGUCAGUCUGCACGCCGGUCUGAAAAGCCGGAGGUGUCGGCGCAAUCCCGACUCCAGUGGCCA
Molecule: transfer RNA, 76 nt
Filed under: Verrucomicrobiota bacterium
Lineage: Bacteria; Pseudomonadati; Verrucomicrobiota
Also listed under: 2 other names
Description: Verrucomicrobia bacterium (drinking water metagenome) tRNA-Phe
Rfam family: tRNA
About the family: Transfer RNA (tRNA) molecules are approximately 80 nucleotides in length. Their secondary structure includes four short double-helical elements and three loops (D, anti-codon, and T loops).
Source: RNAcentral